GACAGAGGGUGCAAACGUUGUUCGGAAUUACUGGGCGUAAAGCGCGUGUAGGCGGCCAACUAAGUCGGGCGUGAAAUCCCACGGCUCAACCGUGGAAGUGCACUCGAAACUGGAUGGCUAGAGUCCUGGAGAGGAAGGUGGAAUGCUUGGUGUAGAGGUGAAAUUCGUAGAUAUUCGCAAGAACACCAGUGGCGAAGGCGGCUCACUGGCCCAUUACUGACGCUGAGGCACGAAAGCGUGGGGAGCAAACAGG
Molecule: ribosomal RNA, 253 nt
Filed under: uncultured bacterium
Lineage: Bacteria
Description: partial 16S ribosomal RNA
Rfam family: Bacterial small subunit ribosomal RNA
Source: RNAcentral